GAUGAACGCUGGCGGCGUGCCUAAUACAUGCAAGUCGAGCGAACAGACGAGGAGCUUGCUCCUCUGACGUUAGCGGCGGACGGGUGAGUAACACGUGGAUAACCUACCUAUAAGACUGGGAUAACUUCGGGAAACCGGAGCUAAUACCGGAUAAUAUAUUGAACCGCAUGGUUCAAUAGUGAAAGACGGUUUUGCUGUCACUUAUAGAUGGAUCCGCGCCGCAUUAGCUAGUUGGUAAGGUAACGGCUUACCAAGGCGACGAUGCGUAGCCGACCUGAGAGGGUGAUCGGCCACACUGGAACUGAGACACGGUCCAGACACCUACGGGAGGCAGCAGUAGGGAAUCUACCGCAAUGGGCGAAAGCCUGACGGAGCAACGCCGCGUGAGUGAUGAAGGUCUUCGGAUCGUAAAACUCUGUUAUUAGGGAAGAACAAAUGUGUAAGUAACUAUGCACGUCUUGACGGUACCUAAUCAGAAAGCCACGGCUAACUACGUG
RNAcentral lists this ribosomal RNA (497 nucleotides) under uncultured bacterium. RNAcentral describes it as "partial 16S ribosomal RNA". It matches the Rfam family "Bacterial small subunit ribosomal RNA", at positions 28 to 507 of the family's 1533-position model. The record is from RNAcentral.